UCAAGCGAAUAAGCGCACACGGUGGAUGCCUAGGCGGUCAGAGGCGAUGAAGGACGUGGUAGCCUGCGAAAAGUGUCGGGGAGCUGGCAACAAGCUUUGAUCCGGCAAUAUCCGAAUGGGGAAACCCACUGCUUCGGCAGUAUCUUGCAGUGAAUUCAUAGCUGCUUGAAGCGAACCCGGUGAACUGAAAUAUCUAAGUAACCGGAGGAAAAGAAAUCAACCGAGAUUCCCUGAGUAGUGACGAGCGAACGGGGAACAGCCCUUAAGCUGGAAUGGCUUUAGAAAAACAAUCUGGAAAGAUUGGCCAUAGAAGGUGAUAGCCCUGUAUUUAAAAGGGCCACUCCAGUGAAGACGAGUAGGGCGGGGCACGUGAAACCCUGUCUGAAUAUGGGGGGACCAUCCUCCAAGGCUAAAUACUCCUGACCGACCGAUAGUGAACCAGUACCGUGAGGGAAAGGCGAAAAGAACCCCGGAGAGGGGAGUGAAAUAGAUCCUGAAACCGUGUGCGUACAAGCAGUAGGAGCUCGCAAGAGUGACUGCGUACCUUUUGUAUAAUGGGUCAGCGACUUACUGUUCGUGGCAAGCUUAACCGUAUAGGGGAGGCGAAGGGAAACCGAGUCUGAUAAGGGCGCAUAGUCGCGGGCAGUAGACCCGAAACCGGGUGAUCUAGUCAUGGCCAGGGUGAAGGUGCCGUAACAGGUACUGGAGGCCCGAACCCACGUCUGUUGCAAAAGACGGGGAUGAGCUGUGAUUAGGAGUGAAAAGCUAAUCGAACCCGGAGAUAGCUGGUUCUCCUCGAAAGCUAUUUAGGUAGCGCCUCGGACGAAUACUACUGGGGGUAGAGCACUGUUAUGGCUAGGGGGUCAUCGCGACUUACCAAACCAUUGCAAACUCCGAAUACCAGUACGUACUAUCCGGGAGACACACGGCGGGUGCUAACGUCCGUCGUGAAAAGGGAAACAACCCAGACCCACAGCUAAGGUCCCAAAUUCACUGCUAAGUGGAAAACGAUGUGGAAAGGCAUAGACAGCCAGGAGGUUGGCUUAGAAGCAGCCACCCUUUAAAGAAAGCGUAAUAGCUCACUGGUCGAGUCGGUCUGCGCGGAAGAUUUAACGGGGCUAAGCAGUGAACCGAAGCUUGGGGUGCGUAAAACUUCGGUUUUAUGCGCGGUAGAGGAGCGUUCCGUAAGCCUGCGAAGGUGGAUUGAGAAGUCUGCUGGAGGUAUCGGAAGUGCGAAUGCUGACAUGAGUAACGAUAAUGCGGGUGAAAAGCCCGCACGCCGAAAGCCCAAGGUUUCCUUGCGCAACGUUAAUCGACGCAGGGUUAGUCGGUCCCUAAGGCGAGGGCGAAAGCCGUAGUCGAUGGGAAGCAGGUUAAUAUUCCUGCACCUCGCGUGAGUGCGAUGGAGGGACGGAGAAGGUUAGGUGUACCGGGCGUUGGUUGUCCCGGGGAAAGGCGGUAGGUUUGGAUCUUUGGCAAAUCCGGGAUCCUUUAAGACCGAGCACCGAGACGAGCCUUUAUGGCGAAGUCACUGAUACCACGCUUCCAGGAAAAGCUCCUAAGCUUCAGCUCACGAAGACCGUACCGUAAACCGACACAGGUGGGUAGGAUGAGAAUUCUCAGGCGCUUGAGAGAACUCGGGUGAAGGAACUAGGCAACAUGGCACCGUAACUUCGGGAGAAGGUGCACCCUUUUUGGUGGCUCAUGCGAGCUAUAGCUGAAGAGGGUCGCAGAAACCAGGCCGCUGCGACUGUUUAUCAAAAACACAGCACUCUGCAAACACGAAAGUGGACGUAUAGGGUGUGACGCCUGCCCGGUGCUGGAAGGUUAAUUGAUGGGGUCAGCCGCAAGGCGAAGCUCUUGAUCGAAGCCCCAGUAAACGGCGGCCGUAACUAUAACGGUCCUAAGGUAGCGAAAUUCCUUGUCGGGUAAGUUCCGACCUGCACGAAUGGCGUAACGACAGCGGCGCUGUCUCCACCCGAGACUCAGUGAAAUUGAAAUCGCUGUGAAGAUGCAGCGUUCCCGUGGCAAGACGGAAAGACCCCGUGAACCUUUACUAUAGCUUUACACUGAACGUUGAGUUCGUCUGUGUAGGAUAGGUGGGAGGCUAUGAAACUGUGGCGCUAGCUGCAGUGGAGCCAACCUUGAAAUACCACCCUGUCGUGCUUGACGUUCUAACCUAGAUCCGUUAUCCGGAUCAGGGACCGUGUAUGGUGGGUAGUUUGACUGGGGCGGUCUCCUCCUAAAGAGUAACGGAGGAGCACGAAGGUACGCUCAGCGCGGUCGGACAUCGCGCACUGUGUGCAAAGGCAUAAGCGUGCUUGACUGCAAGAUCGACGGAUCAAGCAGGUACGAAAGUAGGUCUUAGUGAUCCGGUGGUUCUGUAUGGAAGGGCCAUCGCUCAACGGAUAAAAGGUACUCCGGGGAUAACAGGCUGAUACCGCCCAAGAGUUCAUAUCGACGGCGGUGUUUGGCACCUCGAUGUCGGCUCAUCACAUCCUGGGGCUGUAGUCGGUCCCAAGGGUAUGGCUGUUCGCCAUUUAAAGUGGUACGCGAGCUGGGUUCAGAACGUCGUGAGACAGUUCGGUCCCUAUCUGCCAUGGGCGUUGGAAGUUUGAGAGGGGCUGCUCCUAGUACGAGAGGACCGGAGUGGACGAACCUCUGGUGUUCCGGUUGUCACGCCAGUGGCAUUGCCGGGUAGCUAUGUUCGGAAGCGAUAACCGCUGAAAGCAUCUAAGCGGGAAGCGCGCCUCAAGAUGAGACUUCCCGGGGCACAAGCCCCCUAAAGGAACCAUAUAGACUAUGUGGUUGAUAGGUCAGGUGUGUAAGUACAGCAAUGUAUUGAGCUAACUGAUACUAAUGAUCCGUGCGGCUUGACCAU
Molecule: ribosomal RNA, 2881 nt
Filed under: Xanthomonas campestris
Lineage: Bacteria; Pseudomonadati; Pseudomonadota; Gammaproteobacteria; Lysobacterales; Lysobacteraceae
Also listed under: 3 other names
Description: bacterial LSU rRNA
Rfam family: Bacterial large subunit ribosomal RNA
Source: RNAcentral